CAACAUUAUUGAAAUUUCUUCCUGAUGCUCAAGCACUCAAACCUAUUAGGAUAGAUGAUUAUGAGGAAGAACCAAUAUUAAAACCAGGAUGUAAAGAGUAUUUUUGGUUGUUAUGCAAAUUAGUUGACAACAUACAUAUAAAGGACGCUAGUCAGACAACGCUCCUCGACUUAGAUGCCUUGGCAAGACAUUUGGCUGACUGUAUUCGAAGUAGGGAGAUCCUUGAUCAUCAGGAUGGUAAUGUAGAAGAUGAUGGGCUUACAGGACUCCUAAGGCUUGCAACAAGUGUUGUUAAACACAAACCACCCUUUAAAUUUUCAAGGGAAGGACAGGUAAGUGUUAAGAUAAUCAAAUGUUUCUAUGAAAUGUGAUUGAAAUUUUUUGUUGUUACAUUGUGUAUUAGUCCGUUUUUACACUGCUCAUAAAGGCAUACCCGAGACUGGGCAGUUUACAAAAGAAAAGGGUUUAAUUCGACUCAGAGUUCCAUGUGGCUGGGGAGGCCUCACAAUCGUGCCGGAAGGCAAGUCCGGGCAAGUCCGAGCAAGUCGCAUCUUAUGUGGAUGGCGGCAGGCAAAAAAAGAAUGAGAACCAAGCGAAAGCGGUUUCUCCUUAUAAAACCAUCAGAUCUCAAGAGACUUAUUCACUUAUCACAAGAACAGUAUGGGGGAAACCGCCGCCAUGAUUCAGUCAUCUCCCACCAGGUCCCUCCCACAACAAUGGGAAUUAUAGGCAAUAUAAUUCAAGAUGAGAUUUGGGUGGAGACACGGCCAAACUGUAUCACAUUGUAUGUGGAUA
This 795-nucleotide long non-coding RNA is filed under the name Homo sapiens (human). RNAcentral's name for it is "non-protein coding lnc-XPO1-9:2". The record is from RNAcentral. Lineage: Eukaryota; Metazoa; Chordata; Mammalia; Primates; Hominidae.